RNAcentral lists this long non-coding RNA (209 nucleotides) under Elaeis guineensis (African oil palm). RNAcentral describes it as "long non-coding RNA (EGUI_LNC082176)". The record is from RNAcentral. Lineage: Eukaryota; Viridiplantae; Streptophyta; Magnoliopsida; Arecales; Arecaceae.
GACCCAGAGAUGGACACUUCUUAUUAGAUAUAGUGUGUUCUCUAAUAUGCUUCACAAAUUUUAAUUCUCAUUAUGGGAAUAUACCCUAAAAAUUGCUAUUCUGAUUUAGAUAUCAAUAAAAUAUGUUAUGAGCACUCCAUAUGAGAUAUAAAAAUGGCAAAAGGGUAGGUUGCCCAACUUAUGUAAAAAGAGUUGAUGUACAAAAGUUU